UGGCGGCCGUAGCGCGGUGGUCCCACCUGACCCCAUGCCGAACUCAGAAGUGAAACGCCGUAGCGCCGAUGGUAGUGUGGGGGCUCCCCAUGUGAGAGUAGGGAACCGCCAGGUU
This 115-nucleotide ribosomal RNA is filed under the name Morganella morganii. The record is from RNAcentral. Lineage: Bacteria; Pseudomonadati; Pseudomonadota; Gammaproteobacteria; Enterobacterales; Morganellaceae.